UUGCUCACUCUGGCAGCACAUACACUAAAACUGAAACAAUAUGGAGAAGAUUAGCAUGGCCCUGGCACAAGGAUGACACAAAAGUUCAUGAAGUGUUCCAUAUUUUU
Molecule: small nuclear RNA, 107 nt
Organism: Hyaena hyaena (striped hyena)
Lineage: Eukaryota; Metazoa; Chordata; Mammalia; Carnivora; Hyaenidae
Source: RefSeq, a predicted model, not a curated record